This 404-nucleotide unclassified non-coding RNA is filed under the name soil metagenome. Its description in RNAcentral is "partial contains 5.8S ribosomal RNA, internal transcribed spacer 2, and large subunit ribosomal RNA". The stretch from base 1 to 121 matches the Rfam family "5.8S ribosomal RNA", at positions 35 to 154 of the family's 154-position model. The record is from RNAcentral.
GAUGAAGAACGUAGCGAAAUGCGAUAAGUAAUGUGAAUUGCAGAAUUCAGUGAAUCAUCGAAUCUUUGAACGCACCUUGCGCCCUUUGGCUAUUCCGAAGGGCAUGCCUGUUUGAGUAUCAUGAACACCUCAACCCUCAUGGUUUGCCAUGACGGGCUUGGACUUUGGGGGUCUUGCUGGAUUGUAGUCAGCUCCCCUUAAACAAAUCAGCUCGCCAGUGUUUGGUGGCAUCACAGGUGUGAUAACUAUCUACGCUUGUGGUUUUACAUCAGAUAACCUUCAGUGAUGGAGGUUCACUGGAGCUCAUAAACGUGUCUCUCCUCUGUGAGGACAGCUCUUUGAAUGUUUGAUCUCAAAUCAGGCAGGACUACACGCUGAACUUAAGCAUAUCAAUAAGCGGAGGA